This 468-nucleotide ribosomal RNA is filed under the name uncultured bacterium. Its description in RNAcentral is "partial 16S ribosomal RNA". It matches the Rfam family "Bacterial small subunit ribosomal RNA", at positions 28 to 507 of the family's 1533-position model. The record is from RNAcentral.
GACGAACGCUGGCGGCGUGCUUAACACAUGCAAGUCGAACGGAAAGGCCCUGCUUUUGUGGGGUGCUCGAGUGGCGAACGGGUGAGUAACACGUGAGUAACCUGCCCUUGACUUUGGGAUAACUUCAGGAAACUGGGGCUAAUACCGGAUAGGAGCUCCCGCUGCAUGGUGGGGGUUGGAAAGUUUCGGCGGUUGGGGAUGGACUCGCGGCUUAUCAGCUUGUUGGUGGGGUAGUGGCUUACCAAGGCUUUGACGGGUAGCCGGCCUGAGAGGGUGACCGGCCACAUUGGGACUGAGAUACGGCCCAGACUCCUACGGGAGUCAGCAGGGGGGAAUAUUGCACAAUGGGCGGAAGCCUGAUGCAGCAACGCCGCGUGCGGGAUGACGGCCUUCGGGUUGUAAACCGCUUUCGCCUGUGACGAAGCGUGAGUGACGGUAAUGGGUAAAGAAGCACCGGCUAACUACGUG